RNAcentral lists this ribosomal RNA (253 nucleotides) under uncultured bacterium. Its description in RNAcentral is "partial 16S ribosomal RNA". It matches the Rfam family "Bacterial small subunit ribosomal RNA", at positions 524 to 776 of the family's 1533-position model. The record is from RNAcentral.
GACAGAGGCCCCAAGCGUUAGGCGGAAUCACUGGGCUUAAAGCGUGUGUAGGCGGAUCGUUAAGUGUCUUGUGAAAUCCCACGGCUCACCCGUGGAACUGCUGGGCAUACUGGCGAUCUUGGGCCAACUAGGGGCAGCCGGAACAAGCGGUGGAGCGGUGAAAUGCGUAGAUAUCGCUUGGAACGCCGAAGGUGAAAACAGGUUGCUGGGGGUGUGCUGACGCUGAGACACGAAAGCCAGGGGAGCGAACGGG